Molecule: ribosomal RNA, 516 nt
Filed under: uncultured bacterium
Lineage: Bacteria
Description: bacterial SSU rRNA
Rfam family: Bacterial small subunit ribosomal RNA
Source: RNAcentral
GAUCCUGGCUUAGGAUGAACGCUAGCUACAGGCUUAACACAUGCAAGGUCGAGGGGCAGCAUGAUCGAAGCUUGCUUGAUGAUGGCGACCGGCGCACGGGUGAGUAACGCGUAUCCAACCUUCCCUAGUAGUAGAGGAUAGCCCGGCGAAAGUCGGAUUAAUACUCUAUGUUGUAUUUAGAAGACAUCUGAAGAAUACCAAAGGUUUUACCGCUAUAGGAUGGGGAUGCGUCUGAUUAGGUUGUUGGCGGGGUAACGGCCCACCAAGCCUACGAUCAGUAGGGGUUCUGAGAGGAAGGUCCCCCACAUUGGAACUGAGACACGGUCCAAACUCCUACGGGAGGCAGCAGUGAGGAAUAUUGGUCAAUGGACGAAAGUCUGAACCAGCCAAGUAAGCGUGCAGGAUGACGGCCCUAUGGGUUGUAAACUGCUUUUAUAUAGGGAUAAAGUCGGGGACGUGUCCCCGUUUGUAGGUACUAUAUGAAUAAGGACCGGCUAAUUCCGUGCCAGCCGCCGC